This 810-nucleotide ribosomal RNA is filed under the name bacterium. RNAcentral describes it as "bacterial SSU rRNA". It matches the Rfam family "Bacterial small subunit ribosomal RNA", at positions 31 to 838 of the family's 1533-position model. The record is from RNAcentral.
GGACUUGGGCGGCGGCUUACCAUGCAAGUCGAGCGGAGAGAGGUAGCUUGCUACCGAUCUUAGCGGCGGACGGGUGAGUAAUGCUUAGGAAUCUGCCUAUUAGUGGGGGACAACAUUUCGAAAGGAAUGCUAAUACCGCAUACGUCCUACGGGAGAAAGCAGGGGAUCUUCGGACCUUGCGCUAAUAGAUGAGCCUAAGUCGGAUUAGCUAGUUGGUGGGGUAAAGGCCUACCAAGGCGACGAUCUGUAGCGGGUCUGAGAGGAUGAUCCGCCACACUGGGACUGAGACACGGCCCAGACUCCUACGGGAGGCAGCAGUGGGGAAUAUUGGACAAUGGGCGCAAGCCUGAUCCAGCCAUGCCGCGUGUGUGAAGAAGGCCUUAUGGUUGUAAAGCACUUUAAGCGAGGAGGAGGCUACUUUAGUUAAUACCUAGAGAUAGUGGACGUUACUCGCAGAAUAAGCACCGGCUAACUCUGUGCCAGCAGCCGCGGUAAUACAGAGGGUGCAAGCGUUAAUCGGAUUUACUGGGCGUAAAGCGCGCGUAGGCGGCUAAUUAAGUCAAAUGUGAAAUCCCCGAGCUUAACUUGGGAAUUGCAUUCGAUACUGGUUAGCUAGAGUGUGGGAGAGGAUGGUAGAAUUCCAGGUGUAGCGGUGAAAUGCGUAGAGAUCUGGAGGAAUACCGAUGGCGAAGGCAGCCAUCUGGCCUAACACUGACGCUGAGGUGCGAAAGCAUGGGGAGCAAACAGGAUUAGAUACCCUGGUAGUCCAUGCCGUAAACGAUGUCUACUAGCCGUUGGGGCCUUUGAGGC